UCUCCGUAGGUGAACCUGCGGAGGGAUCAUUACAGAGUUCAUGCUCUACCGGGUAGAUCUCCCACCCUAUGUUAUUAUUACUUUGUGGCUUUGGCGGGCCGUUAGGCUCCGGCCCGACUACCGGCCCCGGCUGGUAAGCGCCCGCCAGAGGACCCAAAACCCUGAAUAUUAGUCUCGUCUGAGUACUAUAUAAUAGUUAAAACUUUCAACAACGGAUCUCUUGGUUCUG
RNAcentral lists this unclassified non-coding RNA (229 nucleotides) under plant metagenome. RNAcentral's name for it is "partial contains small subunit ribosomal RNA, internal transcribed spacer 1, and 5.8S ribosomal RNA". The record is from RNAcentral.